Molecule: ribosomal RNA, 447 nt
Filed under: uncultured bacterium
Lineage: Bacteria
Description: partial 16S ribosomal RNA
Rfam family: Bacterial small subunit ribosomal RNA
Source: RNAcentral
AGCGAACGCUGGCGGCAGGCCUAACACAUGCAAGUCGAGCGCCCCGCAAGGGGAGCGGCAGACGGGAGAGUAACACGUGGGAACGUACCCUUCGGUUCGGAACAACCCAGGGAAACUUGGGCUAAUACCGGAUACGUCCGAAAGGAGAAAGAUUUAUCGCCGAGGGAUCGGCCCGCGUCUGAUUAGCUAGUUGGUGGGGUAACGGCCCACCAAGGCGACGAUCAGUAGCUGGUCUGAGAGGAUGAUCAGCCUCACUGGGACUGAGACACGGCCCAGACUCCUACGGGAGGCAGCAGUGGGGAAUAUUGGACAAUGGGCGCAAGCCUGAUCCAGCCAUGCCGCGUGGGUGAUGAAGGCCCUAGGGUUGUAAAGCCCUUUCGGCGGGGAAGAUAAUGACGGUACCCGCAGAAGAAGCCCCGGCUAACUUCGUGCCAGCCGCCGCGGUAA